Molecule: non-coding RNA, 135 nt
Organism: Triticum aestivum (bread wheat)
Lineage: Eukaryota; Viridiplantae; Streptophyta; Magnoliopsida; Poales; Poaceae
Source: Rfam
AACAUACUUCAUCCGUCCCAAAAUUCUUGUCUUAGAUUUAUCUAGAUACGGAUGUAUCUAGCACUAAAAUGUAAAUAGAUACAUCUGUAUGUAUACAAAUCUAAGACAACAAUUUUGAGACGGAUGGAGUAGAUU